CUGACCUCAGGCUGGAUGGAAUAUUUUCUUUGGUUAAACCUUCAAGCAGCAUUAUCCAGGAAAAGGACUUGCACAAUACGGACAAGAUUUUUCACAAUCACUCCUAUUAACAGAGAUGCAAACAGAUUAUUCCAUUUUUUUUCCAUCAUUAAUUCUUGUUGAGAUUUACACUUUCGCAGAUAUUCUGAUAACUGUACAUAUAAAUGUGUAUUUUGUUACUUAAAAUUACAGCUUCAAUCAUUUCUUCUUUUUGUCUUCUUCCUUUUCUCUCUCAAGAACUACAGGGGCUGCUGGUAUGCUAAACCACCACUCUCUCAAUCUCCUCGACAAUCUUUCACUGCUUGCUUUCCUUGGAGGUGAAUACCUCGUAAAUGCCUCCAAAAAGGUGAGUAGAACUAUGUACUUGAUAGGUAUGAAAAGUAGGAUUAAAGCCAUGCAUAGAAGUGCUGCUGCAAAUUUCUCGCUCGCCUGAGGGAAAAUGGACAGCAAUAAGGCACGAAACUUGAGAAGGAAAAUGUUUCCAUCUUGGAUGAGCUGUUCAGCUUGAGAAAUUGCAUUCUGAACAGCCAAAAGCUGCUCCAUUGUGGUCAUUGGUGGAGGUGCUAUUACCUUAAGUUCGUUGUUGGGGCCUCCUUGGUUACAAUAUCGCGUGAGCACCACAAAAAUUGAAAGAAAGAUAAGCACCAUUCCAAAGGCAUAAGACAACCUUCCCCUCCAAAUGACAUAAGAAGAAAUAGAACAGAAAACCAAAGAUUUCACAGGAUCAUCCCAAUAUGCCAAGGAAAGAAGCCCCUUUCCAACUUCAAUGACAGGGUGAAGCAGCUCCUUCAUUACUGCCAAAUUGGUGUCAAUGCCAUCUACUUUAACUCCAUCAACUGUUUCUUGUGCUAGCACCACCUUUUUAUAGCUGUUUCUAGAUUCCUUAACAGCUCUUUCCAAUGAACUCAUCUCUCCCACAGCUAUCUCACCCACAGCAAGUGCAGCCCCAUUUGCAUCACUUGAACUUGUUCCAAACACAAAUCCUAAAUUGGAAAGCAUGGCCAAGGCUGAGAUUGAAUUCAUUCCACCUCCAGCCUUAUAAUUGUUAGUGCGUUCUAAUUCUCUCAUGGAAGACAUGCUCGCAAGAGUUUCUAGUAUCAAAUCUCCACCAGGAAGUUGAUCACAAAGAUUAAAUGUAAGAAGAGAUUCAAAACGAACAGAAUUUACAGAACUAAUAUCUUGAAUGGCUUGUAGUCGCAAAAUUCCAAGGAUGGCCUUUGAAAGAGCUUCUUCCCGUUCAACUCCUGUUAUUUGAAACUUAUUUAUGAAUCUGUGAACAUACAAAAUUUCCCGGAUAAUAGCUAGCCAAUAAUCACGGCGACUGUGCCCUUUAAGCUCAGGAAACUCCAUAACAACUGGUUCUGAUCUUACAAGGAAAUAGAUUUAUACAAGACCGCCUUGUCAAAAAGCCGUGUGCCCCAUGGUCCAGUUAAUUCAGGCCUGACAACUUGUUUUAGAUCAUCUGCCAAAUCAUAUACUUUUGGUUUGUCAUAAGAUACAACACGAAAAGCUUCAAAGUACAGUGCGUGGUCUGUGAGAAUUAGCCGACCUGGCCAGGUGGAUAUUCCAACAUGUUCAAGAACUGGUUGUGUGGUGACUGUUCCAUCCACUUCCAGAAUCUUUUCUCUUCUUGAUAAUCGAACAGAAGAAAGAAGUGAAGACUCUGACUGGCUCUUCAUCUUUUUUAUUGCCCUCUCUAGUCCACUUAGGUACUUGUCAUAGGUGGAGAAUUGAAGCCGACCACCGGUUGACAUAGUAAGCACCUCAAAAAGGUUUUCACUGAUAACCACAUCAGCAAUGAUUGGAACUACUGGAGCUAUGCGCAAAAAGGCCUCUAGCCCAACUGUUAAGUCUUCGUCUAUAUUAAGCAAAGGUUGGCUGGCAGCUGCUGGAGCUUCCCAAGCUAGCAUCAUGUCAUACGUCAAGCGUCGAAACUUUUUAUCAAUUAGAUGACCCGUUAAUUGAAUGGAUAGAGCCAGUGCUCUGAAGCAGCAGUAUUCCAAAAAGUUCCUUGCAUACCGGGAUGGAUGCUUUAUUGAAUCAGAAGCCUUCAGAUUGAAGCUUUCCUGCAGCUCAGUUGCCGAGAUGCCAAGGAUUUUUGAGCAUCUACGAACAAUCACAUUAGCCAGUGGAGAUAGCUCCGGUAUCCAAUUCCUGCUUGCAGAUGGAGACCUUCCCAUCUCCUCAAAUUCUUCAUCAAAAGAACUUCGCUUGCUAAGUAACCAUUUAAAUGAUCCUUCUCUCACUAGACCCUCAAACAAAUUUCUGGCCUUGCUAGUAGUUGCCAUCUCAAGUUGCUUAUUCAAAACCCAAGGACGAAAUUCACCAGCAGCUUUCUAUCUGAAUGCCACCCAUGGCAGAUAGCCAAAAUAUAUUCCCUUUCUUCAAAUCCCAGAAUAUAAAUUCAACAGUUCAAAUUCUAGUCAGAACCCUUCAACACCUUAUUUUUAUCCAAAUCCAGCUAUUGGGUUCUCUAAAAGCCUAAGCCCAAAACCUCAAAUUAAAAAGAACACCAAGCACUUGCCCGGAAAUUAUAUCCACACCUCAAUCUCUUCAAUUUGCAAUAUUGCAAGAACCCCACUUCAGAUUAAGUUCAGAACAAAUAUCUUAUACGAACUCACUUAAGCAAAUCGCAAAUUUCACAAAAAUACUUAAACUGAGAGAGCAAAGAAGAUGAAAACAAUCAAGCUGCUUCUAAAAGGGUUUAUUCACGAUUCUGCCUUGAUUGGGGGUUUAUCCAAAAGAGACAUGGGAAGGAGAGAGAGACAGACAUAGAUGGCUUCGUUUGUUGGGUAUGUGACGCGCAAGAUUGAGG
Molecule: unclassified non-coding RNA, 2854 nt
Filed under: Hevea brasiliensis (rubber tree)
Lineage: Eukaryota; Viridiplantae; Streptophyta; Magnoliopsida; Malpighiales; Euphorbiaceae
Source: RNAcentral